RNAcentral lists this non-coding RNA (22 nucleotides) under Arabidopsis thaliana (thale cress). The record is from RNAcentral. Lineage: Eukaryota; Viridiplantae; Streptophyta; Magnoliopsida; Brassicales; Brassicaceae.
UGACGGACGUAAGUGUAGUGCA